ACGGAGGCAGCAGCUAAGAAUAUUCCGCAAUGGGGGUAACCCUGACGGAGCGACGCCGCGUGGACGAUGAAGGCCGGAAGGUUGUAAAGUCCUUUUAUGGCAGAGGAAUAAGCGGGGGAGUGGAAAGCCUCCGUGAUGACUGUAGGCCAUGAAUAAGCACCGGCUAAUUACGUGCCAGCAGCCGCGGUAACACGUAAGGUGCGAGCGUUGUUCGGAAUCAUUGGGCGUAAAGGGCAUGUAGGCGGUCUGUCAAGCCCGGCGUGAAAGCCAGGGGCUUAACCCCUGAACUGCGCUUGGAACUGGCGGACUGGAGUCGCUGAGGGGGAACCGGAAUUCCUGGUGUAGGGGUGAAAUCUGUAGAUAUCUGGAAGAAUACCAAUGGCGAAGGCAGGUUACCGGCAGAUGACUGACGCUGAGGUGCGAAGGUGCGGGGAGCAAACAGGAUUAGAUACCCUGGUA
This 459-nucleotide ribosomal RNA is filed under the name uncultured Treponema sp. RNAcentral describes it as "partial 16S ribosomal RNA". It matches the Rfam family "Bacterial small subunit ribosomal RNA", at positions 341 to 792 of the family's 1533-position model. The record is from RNAcentral. Lineage: Bacteria; Pseudomonadati; Spirochaetota; Spirochaetia; Treponematales; Treponemataceae.